CCUACGGGAGGCAGCAGUGAGGAAUAUUGGUCAAUGGGCGAGAGCCUGAACCAGCCAAGUCGCGUGAAGGAUGAAGGAUCUAUGGUUUGUAAACUUCUUUUAUAUGGGAAUAAAGUGAGGAACGUGUUCCUUUUUGUAUGUACCAUAUGAAUAAGCAUCGGCUAACUCCGUGCCAGCAGCCGCGGUAAUACGGAGGAUGCGAGCGUUAUCCGGAUUUAUUGGGUUUAAAGGGUGCGUAGGCGGGAUGCCAAGUCAGCGGUAAAAAUGCGGUGCUCAACGCCGUCGAGCCGUUGAAACUGGCGUUCUUGAGUGGGCGAGAAGUAUGCGGAAUGCGUGGUGUAGCGGUGAAAUGCAUAGAUAUCACGCAGAACUCCGAUUGCGAAGGCAGCAUACCGGCGCCCUACUGACGCUGAGGCACGAAAGCGUGGGUAUCGAACAGGAUUAGAUACCCCAGUAGUC
This 459-nucleotide ribosomal RNA is filed under the name uncultured bacterium. RNAcentral's name for it is "partial 16S ribosomal RNA". It matches the Rfam family "Bacterial small subunit ribosomal RNA", at positions 338 to 795 of the family's 1533-position model. The record is from RNAcentral.